UGAAUACGAGACGCUAAGGCGUCGAAGUAGUGUAUGUCAUACUUCCAAGAAAAGCUUGCACUGUCAUAGAUAAAAAACGCCUGUACCAUAACCGACACAGGUGGGUAGGUAGAGUAUACUAAGGGGCGCGAGAUAACUCUCUCUAAGGAACUCGGCAAAAUAACUCCGUAACUUCGGGAGAAGGAGUGCCUUAUUCGUAAGGUUGCAAUAACAAGAUCCAAGCAACUGUUUAUCAAAAACACAGGUCUCCGCUAAGUCGUAAGACGAUGUAUGGGGGCUGACGCCUGCCCAGUGCCAGAAGGUUAAAGAAGUUGGUUAGCAAUUGCGAAGCUGAUAACUGAAGCCCUGGUGAACGGCGGCCGUAACUAUAACGGUCCUAAGGUAGCGAAAUUCCUUGUCGGGUAAGUUCCGACCCGCACGAAAGGCGUAAUGAUUUGGAUACUGUCUCGGAGAGGGGCUCGGUGAAAUAGACUUGUCUGUGAAGAUGCGGACUACCUGCACCAGGACAGAAAGACCCUAUGAAGCUUUACUGUAACUUGAAAUUGAAAUUGGACUUUAUUCGCGCAGUAUAGGUGGGAGGCGUUGAUUAUAAUCUUGUGGGAUUAUUGGAGCCAUCAGUGAGAUACCACUCUUGUAAUGUUAGAUUUCUAACUUUGAAUCAUUAUCUGGUCAAAGAACAGUUUCAGGCGGGCAGUUUGACUGGGGCGGUCGCCUCCUAAACGGUAACGGAGGCGUACAAAGGUUUCCUCUGAACGGUUAGAAAUCGUAUCUAGAGUGUAAAGGCAUAAGGAAGCUUGACUGUGAGACCUACAAGUCGAGCAGGGACGAAAGUCGGUCUUAGUGAUCUGACGGUACUGAGUGGAAAGGCCGUCACUCAACGGAUAAAAGUUACUCUAAGGAUAACAGGCUGAUCUCCCCCAAGAGUUCACAUCGACGGGGAGGUUUGGCACCUUGAUGUCGGCUCAUCGCAUCCUGGGGCGGUAGUACGUCCCAAGGGUUGGGCUGUUCGCCCAUGAAAGCGGUACGCGAGCUGGGUUCAGAACGUCGUGAGACAGUUCGGUCCAUAUCCGGUGUAGGCGUUAGAAUAUUGAGAGGAGCCUUCUUUAGUACGAGAGGACCGAGAAGGACAUACCUCUGGUGUACCAGUUAUCGUGCCAACGGUAAACGCUGGGUAGCUAUGUAUGGAGUGGAUAACCGCUGAAAGCAUCUAAGUGGGAAGCCCACCUCAAGAUAAGUAUUCUCAC
Molecule: ribosomal RNA, 1244 nt
Filed under: metagenome
Description: bacterial LSU rRNA
Rfam family: Bacterial large subunit ribosomal RNA
Source: RNAcentral